GACGAACGCUGGCGGCGUGCUUAACACAUGCAAGUCGAACGGAAAGGCCCUGCUUUUGUGGGGUGCUCGAGUGGCGAACGGGUGAGUAACACGUGAGUAACCUGCCCUUGACUUUGGGAUAACUUCAGGAAACUGGGGCUAAUACCGGAUAGGAGCUCCUGCUGCAUGGUGGGGGUUGGAAAGUUUCGGCGGUUGGGGAUGGACUCGCAGCUUAUCAGCUUGUUUGUGGGGUAGGUGCUUACCAAGGCUUUGACGGGUAGCCGGCCUGAGCGGGUGACCGGCCACAUUGGGCCUGAGAUACGGCGCAGACUCCUACGGGAGGCAGCAGUGGGGAAUAUUGCACAAUGGGCGGAAGCCUGAUGCAGCAACGCCGCGUGCGGGAUGACGGCCUUCGGGUUGUAAACCGCUUUCGCCUGUGACGAAGAGUGAGUGACGGUAAUGGGUAAAGAAGCACCGGCUAACUACGUG
RNAcentral lists this ribosomal RNA (468 nucleotides) under uncultured bacterium. RNAcentral describes it as "partial 16S ribosomal RNA". It matches the Rfam family "Bacterial small subunit ribosomal RNA", at positions 28 to 507 of the family's 1533-position model. The record is from RNAcentral.